CCUACGGGAGGCAGCAGUGAGGAAUAUUGGUCAAUGGCCGGAAGGCUGAACCAGCCAUGCCGCGUGAAGGUCAGUGCCCUAUGGGCGUUAAACUUCUUUUGUGCGGGAGCAAUAAUGGUCACGUUUGGCCAGACGAGAGUACCGUACGAAUAAGCAUCGCUUAACUCCGUGCCAGCAGCCGCGGUAAUACAGGGGAUGCAAGCGUUAUCCGGGUGUAUUGGGUUUAAAGGGUGCGUAGGCUGGGAGGUACGUCAGCGGUGAAAUGCCCCCGCUCACCGGGGUGAAGUGCCAUUGAUACUGCCGUGCUGGAAUGCGGAUGCCGUGGGAGGAAUGUGUGGUGUAGCGGUGAAAUGCAUAGAUAUCACACAGAACACCGAUUGCGAAGGCAUCUCACGAAUCCGCGAUUGACGCUGAUGCACGAAAGCGUGGGUAUCAAACAGGAUUAGAUACCCUUGUAGUC
This 460-nucleotide ribosomal RNA is filed under the name uncultured bacterium. RNAcentral describes it as "partial 16S ribosomal RNA". It matches the Rfam family "Bacterial small subunit ribosomal RNA", at positions 338 to 795 of the family's 1533-position model. The record is from RNAcentral.